This 422-nucleotide ribosomal RNA is filed under the name uncultured bacterium. RNAcentral describes it as "bacterial SSU rRNA". It matches the Rfam family "Bacterial small subunit ribosomal RNA", at positions 355 to 774 of the family's 1533-position model. The record is from RNAcentral.
UGAGGAAUAUUGGACAAUGGGUGAGAGCCUGAUCCAGCCAUCCCGCGUGAAGGACGACGGCCCUAUGGGUUGUAAACUUCUUUUGUACAGGGAUAAACCUACUCUCGUGAGGGUAGCUGAAGGUACUGUACGAAUAAGCACCGGCUAACUCCGUGCCAGCAGCCGCGGUAAUACGGAGGGUGCAAGCGUUAUCCGGAUUUAUUGGGUUUAAAGGGUCCGUAGGCGGACUAAUAAGUCAGUGGUGAAAUCUCGUAGCUUAACUAUGGAACUGCCAUUGAUACUGUUAGUCUUGAGUGAAUUUGAGGUAGCUGGAAUAAGUAGUGUAGCGGUGAAAUGCAUAGAUAUUACUUAGAACACCAAUUGCGAAGGCAGGUUACCAAGAUUCAACUGACGCUGAGGGACGAAAGCGUGGGGAGCGAACA